Molecule: long non-coding RNA, 456 nt
Organism: Diceros bicornis minor
Lineage: Eukaryota; Metazoa; Chordata; Mammalia; Perissodactyla; Rhinocerotidae
Exons: 3
Source: RefSeq, a predicted model, not a curated record
GUCGGAACAGAACUUGAUGCAGACGCUUGGCACUGUAGCCUCCCGGGCACUCCUGCGGGCGCUCUGCGAGACGCGUGACCCUGGGUGCAAAACCUGCAGCUCCCCCGCUGUGAGCCAUCCCACCAAGACGGGCAGGAGACCAGGGCACGUUUCCUUCAUGCCAAGAGAGAACAAAUUCCUUGAGAAGUCACUUAACCGCUAAGCCACCGGGCCGGCCCCACGUGUUCCUCUACUUUAUAUGGGAUGCUGCCACAGCAUGGCUUGACAAGCGGUGCAUCGGCUCAUGCCAGGCGUCUGAACCUGCCAACGCUGCCGGCCAUCUGAACCCGCGAACCCCGCGGGCACCCAGACCCAUCCGAACCCCGCCGAACCCGCGAACCCCGCAGGCACCCAGACCCAUCCGAACCCCGCCGAACCCGCGAACCCCGCCGGGCACCCAGACCCAUCCGAACCCCG